This 502-nucleotide long non-coding RNA is filed under the name Mus spicilegus (steppe mouse). RNAcentral's name for it is "lncRNA (ENSMSIG00000011253.1)". The record is from RNAcentral. Lineage: Eukaryota; Metazoa; Chordata; Mammalia; Rodentia; Muridae.
UACACAUACAUUUACUUGUAUACACACACAUAUAUUAAGUGUGUGUGUGUGUGGUCAAUGUUUCAUCCAGCAAUAGUUAGCUUGCACUAACUUAAUCUGGAUAUCUAAUGCAUGAUGUUUAAUACAUGAUGUCUGUUUGGCUCAUUCUAGACACCCACUCUGAGAAAACACUUGACUUUCACUGGCCAUGAGAACCAUCUGGAUUCUGGUGAUAACUGGAUCCUCCUGUUCCCAAGGCUACCCAUCAAGUCAUUUGACAGCUGGAAGCACAAAUUAAACCACGCAUCUUGAGUUGCUGUCUAUGCUGAGAGAGACAUCAUGCGAUCACCAAGAGCAAGCAAGUGAGCACACUGUGACUCUCCAAAAAACUGAGAGAUCUCUUUAUAAGUAAACCAGGAACUGAAAGACCUCUUUUAAAUAGAUCAGGAAGAGUGUGGUUGGUCGGGCAUUUCAGAGACUAAACCAUGGAGUAUAUAAAAUCAAGAGUAAACUGUUAAGUGGG